AUUGAACGCUGGCGGCAGGCUUAGCACAUGCAAGUCGAGCGGGGUGAUGGUGCUUGCACUAUCACUUAGCGGCGGACGGGUGAGUAAUGCUUAGGAAUCUGCCUAUUAGUGGGGGACAACAUCUCGAAAGGGAUGCUAAUACCGCAUACGUCCUACGGGAGAAAGCAGGGGAUCACUUGUGACCUUGCGCUAAUAGAUGAGCCUAAGUCGGAUUAGCUAGUUGGUGGGGUAAAGGCCUACCAAGGCGACGAUCUGCAGCGGGUCUGAGAGGAUGACCCGCCACACUGGGACUGAGACACGGCCCAGACUCCUACGGGAGGCAGCAGUGGGGAAUAUUGGACAAUGGGGGGAACCCUGAUCCAGCCAUGCCGCGUGUGUGAAGAAGGCCUUAUGGUUGUAAAGCACUUUAAGCGAGGAGGAGGCUCUUUUGGUUAAUACCCAAGAUGAGUGGACGUUACUCGCAGAAUAAGCACCGGCUAACUCUGUGCCAGCAGCCGCCGUAA
Molecule: ribosomal RNA, 503 nt
Filed under: uncultured bacterium
Lineage: Bacteria
Description: partial 16S ribosomal RNA
Rfam family: Bacterial small subunit ribosomal RNA
Source: RNAcentral